RNAcentral lists this long non-coding RNA (621 nucleotides) under Homo sapiens (human). Its description in RNAcentral is "LHRI_LNC407.1". The record is from RNAcentral. Lineage: Eukaryota; Metazoa; Chordata; Mammalia; Primates; Hominidae.
GGCUGCGGGCUUCGUGCGGCUCCCUGCUCCGGGCCCGCGGGGCCGGGACUGGACCGGGCUCUUCUCUAGGCAUCUGCGGGAUUCACUCGAGGUGGCCGGGUUCGUGCAUUAAAAACACCGGGCCAGCGUUGUCAGUGUUCUAAAGAGGUGUGCGUUCAGUUUGCUUUCUGUUGCCGCCUAAGCCUAACCUUGGGACCGGCCGUUUUCCCACUCUCCUGAAUAUCCUCCGGCCCGCAGGGCGAGGCGGAGACGCGGUGUUUGGCGCUGGCAUCGACUGGUACUUGUUUAGUGGUGUUUAACUGGGAUGGGCAGUGUGUAAACGCUGGACCGCAGAGUAUCCGACAGCUGUACGUGUGGAAGGCUGGCCGGACACGGUGGGGACUGCCCCUAUGCGGUGACCAAAAGGCGGUCUGACGGGAACAUUUUUAAUAUUCGAAAGUGGGGGAAAAAGGUAAGUACAAAACGCAGAUGAUUCAGUAACCUGUUUGGUAGCUUCGAAGAAGUUAAAGGGGAGUGACACAAAAUUGAAAAUUCAAAUUAGAAAACGAACUCUUGGAGAUACUAGUAAGAUAUUUGACAGGCGCCGAAUGCUCCAUCAAGCUGGCUGUUGCUAUUUCAAGG